UCCAAGCAGGCCGCGAGAAAAUCUAUAGAACAUGUUUCCAGUACAGAUAAGGGCAUCUUUCAACAUUAUUACUUAAAUUAUAGACAGGCUUAUCUCUUGCAAUAUUGAGACUGGAGUGUAGAGGGUGCAGGUGCAUAAAAGGCCAGAGGCAGCUGGAGAAGCUGCCUUCAUUGCAGUGGAUAACCCUAUGUGUCCUGGGUUUAUCUAUCAAGAAUAGCAGGUGACUGCCUGCAUCUCUGCAGGUUAGAGUGCAAUCGGAGGCUUUGUGCCUGCUCACCCUCGGUUAUGAGCAGCCUGGACCUCCAACCCAGAAACCAGUGGGGCUGCUACAAAUGACAUCAGAGGCAUUCGGGAGACACUGCUCCUGGGCAAGAGGCUGAGACAGCAACAGUGGGGACCCAGGGUCCCCAAAUCCUUGGACCAGAAGCCAACUCAAUCCACAGGCCUUUAGCAGAGUUAUCCAGGGAGAAUGAAUGAGUGGAUGCCCAAGGCCAAAUCUCUGUUUAUUACUUUGUGGCUUUGGCACCAACCG
This 532-nucleotide long non-coding RNA is filed under the name Homo sapiens (human). RNAcentral describes it as "HSALNT0100356". Lineage: Eukaryota; Metazoa; Chordata; Mammalia; Primates; Hominidae. The record is from RNAcentral.